Molecule: long non-coding RNA, 228 nt
Filed under: Hordeum vulgare
Lineage: Eukaryota; Viridiplantae; Streptophyta; Magnoliopsida; Poales; Poaceae
Description: long non-coding RNA (HVUL_LNC007993)
Source: RNAcentral
CCCUCCACCCCUACUAUCUCCUCUCCCUCUUCCACCAGAUGGACUGAACUGCCCUCCACCCCUACCAUCUCCUCUCCCUCUUCCACCAGAUGGACCAAACUGCCUUCCAUCCUUACCAUCUCUACCAGGGUUAAAUCGGGAUUUCUGAUCUGUUGCAUAAUUCCUCACGCCAUUUUCAGAGGCAACAUGAGAGAUGCCAUCUGAUUUGUUAGUAGUUUGGUUUACCUG